AACGAACGCUGGCGGCAUGCCUAACACAUGCAAGUCGAACGAUGCCUUCGGGCAUAGUGGCGCACGGGUGCGUAACGCGUGGGAAUCUUCCUUUCGGUUCGGAAUAACUCAGGGAAACUUGAGCUAAUACCGGAUAACGUCGCAAGACCAAAGAUUUAUCACCGAAAGAUGAGCCCGCGUAGGAUUAGCUAGUUGGUGAGGUAAAGGCUCACCAAGGCGACGAUCCUUAGCUGGUCUGAGAGGAUGAUCAGCCACACUGGGACUGAGACACGGCCCAGACUCCUACGGGAGGCAGCAGUGGGGAAUAUUGGACAAUGGGCGAAAGCAUGAUCCAGCAAUGCCGCGUGAGUGAUGAAGGCCUUAGGGUUGUAAAGCUCUUUUACCCGGGAAGAUAAUGACGGUACCGGGAGAAUAAGCCCCGGCUAACUCCGUG
This 433-nucleotide ribosomal RNA is filed under the name uncultured bacterium. Its description in RNAcentral is "partial 16S ribosomal RNA". It matches the Rfam family "Bacterial small subunit ribosomal RNA", at positions 29 to 507 of the family's 1533-position model. The record is from RNAcentral.